This 201-nucleotide ribosomal RNA is filed under the name uncultured bacterium. RNAcentral describes it as "partial 16S ribosomal RNA". It matches the Rfam family "Bacterial small subunit ribosomal RNA", at positions 1300 to 1500 of the family's 1533-position model. The record is from RNAcentral.
GCAGUCUGCAACUCGAGUGCAUGAAGCUGGAAUCGCUAGUAAUCGCGAAUCAGAAUGUCGCGGUGAAUACGUUCCCGGGCCUUGUACACACCGCCCGUCACACCAUGGGAGCCGGUAAUACCCGAAGUCAGUAGUCUAACCGCAAGGGGGACNCUGCCGAAGGUAGGAUUGGCGACUGGGGUGAAGUCGUAACAAGGUACC